AAUGAACGUUGGCGGCGUGGAUUAGGCAUGCAAGUCGAGCGUGCCCCGCAAGGGGCAAGCGGCAAACGGGGUAGUAAGGCGUCGGUACGUGCCUCCUGGACGGGGACAGCCACGGGAAACUGUGGGUAAUACCCGAUGAUGUCGUGAGACCAAAGGUGUGAUUCCGCCGGGAGAGCGGCCGACGUGGUAUUAGGUAGUUGGCAGGGUAAUGGCCUACCAAGCCUGGGAUGCCUAGGGGGUGUGAGAGCAUGGCCCCCACCAUUGGGACUGAGACACUGCCCAGACACCUACGGGUGGCUGCAGUCGAGAAUCUUCGGCAAUGGGCGCAAGCCUGACCGAGCGACGCCGCGUGCGGGAUGAAGGCCCUCGGGUUGUAAACCGCUGUCAGGGGGGAUGAAAUGCAUCGGGGUUCUCCCCGGUGUUUGACAGAGCCCCAGAGGAAGCGCGGGCUAAGUUCGUGCCAGCAGCCGCGGUAACAC
RNAcentral lists this ribosomal RNA (479 nucleotides) under uncultured bacterium. Its description in RNAcentral is "bacterial SSU rRNA". It matches the Rfam family "Bacterial small subunit ribosomal RNA", at positions 28 to 526 of the family's 1533-position model. The record is from RNAcentral.